UGUUGUUUUAUUUGGCUUUGUACAUAAAGGCAUCUCAUGAGAGGAUUGUUUUGCUGAUGCAUCUGAAGUGUAACUGCUGUUCUGAAGGUGAUAACAAAGAGACAACAUUUUCACGCCAAAAUCUCCCGCUGUCUGAUUGCUGGAGUUAUAAAUGUGCAUAUGGCAGCAUGUUCUUGAUGAUGUCAGCCAGUGUUUGAAUCCCACUGGUCACUCAGGACUCUUCUCCAUUGAAGGGCUGUGUACAGCUCAACUGCUAACAGAGUAAAUGCUAAGGGAUUCUGUGUGCACCCUGUCUGACUUUUACUUAGAAAUAAAGAUAAACCUCUCCUUUUCCAAAGAAUUAAAAGUUGUCAUUUAACAA
Long non-coding RNA from Polypterus senegalus (gray bichir), 361 nucleotides. RefSeq lists it as uncharacterized. The transcript has 3 exons. Lineage: Eukaryota; Metazoa; Chordata; Cladistia; Polypteriformes; Polypteridae. The record is from RefSeq and is a predicted model, not a curated record.